CGCAGCCGCGGUAAUUCCAGCUCCAAUAGCGUAUAUUAAAGUUGUUGCAGUUAAAAAGCUCGUAGUUGAAUUUCGGGAUCGACGAGUCGGUCGCGCCUCUGGUGUGUACUGGCCCUGUCGGUUUCUCCCUUCUGACGAACUGCGAUGUCAUUAAUUUGGUGUCGUAGGGAAUCAGGACUGUUACUUUGAAAAAUUAGAGUGUUUAAAGCAGGCAUUCGCUUGAAUACAUUAGCAUGGAAUAAUGAAAUAGGACGUUUGAUCUUAUUUUGUUGGUUUCUAAGAUCGACGUAAUGAUUAAUAGGGAUAGUUGGGGGCAUUAGUAUUCAAUUGUCAGAGGUGAAAUUCUUGGAUUUAUUGAAGACUAACUACUGCGAAAGCAUUUGCCAAGGAUGUUUUCAUUAAUCAAGAACGAAAGUUAGGGGAUCGAAGACGAUCAGAUACCGUCGUAGU
This 450-nucleotide ribosomal RNA is filed under the name uncultured Glomeromycotina. RNAcentral describes it as "SSU rRNA". It matches the Rfam family "Eukaryotic small subunit ribosomal RNA", at positions 569 to 1024 of the family's 1831-position model. Lineage: Eukaryota; Fungi; Glomeromycota. The record is from RNAcentral.